UCCCGUUGAUUCGAUUCGGCAUGGCGCCAU
Molecule: non-coding RNA, 30 nt
Filed under: Mus musculus (house mouse)
Lineage: Eukaryota; Metazoa; Chordata; Mammalia; Rodentia; Muridae
Source: RNAcentral